CACAGCCAUCGUUUGUCGGUAAUCGUAUUCAGCGCAAAAAUCUGCUCCAUUACACGGAAAAUAUUUUCAGAAUUCCCGGCUCUUUUCCGCUUUCCCGAUUUAUCCGUGGAGAAUUACCAAGAGACCUUAUUAAUUCCUCAGAAUCCGGAGAGCAUGCGAAGUUUUUCACUGACGUUUGUCGUGGGAUUGAUGCUGAUGUUGAUGAUCCUCAGUUGUGACGUCAGCAUAACGGAAGCGAGGCGAUGCACCAGGAUUUGUGAAAAGGGACGAUGCAGACCAGUUUGCUUGCGAGAAGCCGAGUUUGCCGACAAUAGUCCUGCGGACGACACGGAGAUUGGAAACAACAUCGAAGUACCAUGAUGGCCGCACUUGGAACGCCAUUCAACUUUUCUUUCUAAGUUUUGCAGUCUCUAAAGUGAUUUGUGCAAGCGAAUUCUCUUGUGUUGUGAAGAGAUGAGUCGUCUGCAUUUCACAACUAAUGGAUUACUGUUUGCUCCUGAAAAAUUUAUCAGCUUUUAAGACGUUUCGUUUGAGACACAAACCCUUUCUUCAAUAUAAAUGUGUAGCUUAGAUGUGCAAAAAUUUCAUCAGCAUAGUCAAGGAAUAAUUGCAGUUGCCUCUCCUCAGCAUGAUCCCUAUUGAUUUUAACAAUUAAAUGGUGCUGAAAUAGCAUUCUGAAAAUGUGUCAGAUAUUCUCUUUUGACCUUUUUGCGGUGUUGACUUUUGAAGAUGUUAUUUAUUGAUUUUUUCCCCCUUGACAUUUCUUCUUGUAAUAAAUGUUUAAUCUUGUAGUAUUUGCUUUAAAUGUAUGUACGUUUCUGUUUAAAGUAUCAAUAAAGUUU
Uloborus diversus is the source of this 842-nucleotide long non-coding RNA. RefSeq lists it as uncharacterized. The record is from RefSeq and is a predicted model, not a curated record. The transcript is spliced from 4 exons. Lineage: Eukaryota; Metazoa; Arthropoda; Arachnida; Araneae; Uloboridae.